Molecule: unclassified non-coding RNA, 341 nt
Filed under: soil metagenome
Description: partial contains 5.8S ribosomal RNA, internal transcribed spacer 2, and large subunit ribosomal RNA
Rfam family: 5.8S ribosomal RNA (bases 1-120)
Source: RNAcentral
GAUGAAGAACGCAGCGAAAUGCGAUAAGUAGUGUGAAUUGCAGAAUUCAGUGAAUCAUCGAAUCUUUGAACGCACAUUGCGCCCUUUGGUAUUCCAAAGGGCAUGCCUGUUCGAGCGUCAUUUGUACCCUCAAGCUUUGCUUGGUGUUGGGCGUCUUGUCUCUAGCUUUGCUGGAGACUCGCCUUAAAGUAAUUGGCAGCCGGCCUACUGGUUUCGGAGCGCAGCACAAGUCGCACUCUCUAUCAGCAAACGUCUAGCAUCCACUAAGCCUUUUUUUCAACUUUUGACCUCGGAUCAGGUAGGGAUACCCGCUGAACUUAAGCAUAUCAAUAAGCGGAGGA